UCGAGAAUUUUUCACAAUGGGCGAAAGCCUGAUGGAGCGACGCCGCGUGGGGGAUGAAUGGCUUCGGCCCGUAAACCCCUGUCAUUUGCGAGCAAUGGUUUUCUGUUAACAGCGGGAAACUUGAUAGUAGCGAAAGAGGAAGGGACGGCUAACUCUGUGCCAGCAGCCGCGGUAAUACAGAGGUCCCAAGCGUUGUUCGGAUUCACUGGGCGUAAAGGGUGCGUAGGUGGUAGGGUAAGUUCGAUGUGAAAUCUCCGGGCUCAACCCGGAAAAGGCAUUGAAUACUAUCUUGCUAGAGAGUUGUAGGGGGGACUGGAAUUCUCGGUGUAGCAGUGAAAUGCGUAGAUAUCGAGAGGAACACCAGUGGCGAAGGCGAGUCCCUGGACAACUUCUGACACUG
This 400-nucleotide ribosomal RNA is filed under the name uncultured bacterium. Its description in RNAcentral is "bacterial SSU rRNA". It matches the Rfam family "Bacterial small subunit ribosomal RNA", at positions 355 to 748 of the family's 1533-position model. The record is from RNAcentral.